GGAAAAGGUUGUGUCUCAAAGCAGAGCAGUCUCUGUUUCUUUCUUAAGGAUAGAAACAAUAAAGAUCAAAGAGGGAGAAAGCAAGAUUAGGAGUUUUCACUUCUCAUGGAGACGAACGAAAAGCCUCAAGUAAACAACACAAUGAGAAGAGCUCUACUAGUUCUAAACUGCAUCCUCUUAACUAUAGGAAACUGCGGUGGCCCUCUCAUAUUGCGCCUCUACUUCUUGCAUGGAGGCAAGCGUGUUUGGCUC
Molecule: unclassified non-coding RNA, 252 nt
Filed under: Hevea brasiliensis (rubber tree)
Lineage: Eukaryota; Viridiplantae; Streptophyta; Magnoliopsida; Malpighiales; Euphorbiaceae
Source: RNAcentral